AGCGAACGCUGGCGGCAGGCUUAACACAUGCAAGUCGAGCGGGCAUCCUUGUGGUGUCAGCGGCAGACGGGUGAGUAACGCGUGUGAACGUGCCCUUCGUUUCGGAAUAACUCAGGGAAACUUGAGCUAAUACCGGUUACGCCCUUUUGGGGAAAGGUUUACUGCCGAAGGAUCGGCGCGCCUCUGAUUAGCUAGUUGGUGAGGUUAUGGCUCACCAAGGCGACGAUCAGUAGCUGGUCUGAGAGGAUGAUCAGCCACACUGGGACUGAGACACAGCCCAGACUCCUACGGGAGGCAGCAGUGGGGAAUAUUGGAAAAUGGGGGCAAUCCUGAACCAGCCAUGACGCGUGAGUGAUGACGGCCUUAGGGUUGUAAAGCUCUUUUCUCCGGGACGAUAAUGACGGUACCGGAGGAAUAAGCCCCGGCUAACUUCGUG
RNAcentral lists this ribosomal RNA (436 nucleotides) under uncultured bacterium. RNAcentral's name for it is "partial 16S ribosomal RNA". It matches the Rfam family "Bacterial small subunit ribosomal RNA", at positions 29 to 507 of the family's 1533-position model. The record is from RNAcentral.